AUGCCCCCCCGGGCCCGUCGGCCCGCCCCCCGCCCCCCCGCGCGGCGCCCCGACUCCCGCCCCGCGGCGGCCGGCACUGCAGCACGGCGGGGGCGGGGGCGGGAGCGGGCGGGGGGGCCGCGGCGCGCCCGCCCGAGCACUUUCCCGCCCCUCCCUUCGCCGCUGACACGCUCGGCGGAGUCGCCAGUCCGCGCGCUGCCGGCGAGAGGGGCGGACGGAGGCGGCCCGGGGAGCGAGCGGGGCCGGGAUCCCGGCGGCGGGAGCGGUGAGUGGGGCCCGCGGCGGCCGUGCGGGGCGGGGAGCCGGGAGCCGGGAGCCGGGCGCCCGGCGGGAACUUCCGCAGCCUCGUGGAGCGCACGUUCGCCCGCGUGCCCCGAGGAGGCGGCUGCAGGCGCCUGGCGGGGCCCGCGGGCGCUUGCUGGGGCGGGACCGGGAGGUCGGGGUGAAGCAGAGCGGGGCCCGGGGGCCCUCCCGGGUGCUCGGCGGCCGCGGUCGCACGGGAGCCGGGGCCGGAGUCCCUUCGAGCCGCUCCAGCCCCGCCGGGCGUGCGACCGGCGUCCGCGCCGCAGCUGCGGGCUCAGCUCCCGGGCUGGAUCCCGCUGCGGGCGCGCGGCCGGUGGGGAGCAGAGGCGGGCGGCCCCGCGCCCAGCCAGCCCGACCGACACCCCGGGGUCAGGGGCCGUCGCGCGUCCGCGGGGCCGCGUCCGGGGUGUGCGCGGGCCGGGGCCGGGGCCGGGGCCGGGGGCGGAGCACAGCACCGGGAGUCCCGUGGCCGGGCCGCCCCGGGACCCGGGGCUCCCUCCCGCCGAGCGCCCCCGCGUCCCUCGGGGCCGUCGGCCGCUCCCGCUCCGCCCGGGCUCUGCGGCUGGGCCCUGCGGCUCGCGGCCGUCCUGCGGGAUGCGCAGCGCGCUGACGGACUUCGGCAGCGGUGCCCCCGGCCGGCGCACAACCCCGGCACCUGGGGCGCCCGCGGGCGGCGCGGGGGGGAGUCACGGGGGGCGGCGGCGGGAGGGGCGCUCGCGUCACCGCUGCGUGGGCCCGAGUGCGGGGCGGGGCGGGGCGGCGGGGGUCGGGGCGCGCGUGCGUCAGGGGCUGCGGGUGGCGGGGAGGCCCAGGGCGGCCGCGCGGUGCUCCGCGGGGGGGGCCCGGGGCAGGCCGGGGGGGGGGGUCCGGGGGAAGCCCGGGGAGGGGUCCGGGGGCGGCCGCGCGGUGCUCUCGGGGGGGGUCCGGGGGAGGCCGUUGGGGGGGCCCGAGGGAGGCCGGAGGUCCGGGGGAAGCCGAGGGGGGCGGUCCGGGGGAGGCCGCGAGGUACUCCGCGGGGGGGGGGGGCCGGGGGAAGCCCGGGGGAGGCCGCGAGGUGCUCCGCGGGGGGGGCCCGGGGGAGGCCGGGGGGGGGUCCGGGGGAAGCCCGAGGGGGGUCCGGGGGAGGCAGCGAGGUGCUCCGCGGGGGGGGCCCGGGGGCGGCCGCGCGGUGCUGGGGGGGCGGCGGUCCGGGGGAAGCCCGGGGGGGGGCCCGAGGGAGGCCGGGGGAAGCCCGGGGAGGGGUCCGGGGGCGGCCGCGCGGUGCUCCGCAGUGCGCAGCAGCGGGGCGCCGUGUCAGCCGCCCCCGCAGGGGCGCCGCGAUGGCCUCGGCCGCGCCCCCUCCUGAGCGCCUGGCUGGCGGCUCCAGCCGAAUUCCCGGUCUUAUCCCGGAGCAGAGCCUGCGUGGGUCUCCCGGGCCGCCAGCUCUCUCGGCACGCCCCGAAGGGCCUCGCUCCCGGGACCCGUCUGCUGUGA
This 1776-nucleotide long non-coding RNA is filed under the name Canis lupus dingo (dingo). RNAcentral's name for it is "lncRNA (ENSCAFG00020025708.1)". Lineage: Eukaryota; Metazoa; Chordata; Mammalia; Carnivora; Canidae. The record is from RNAcentral.